Molecule: ribosomal RNA, 643 nt
Filed under: Flavobacterium collinsii
Lineage: Bacteria; Pseudomonadati; Bacteroidota; Flavobacteriia; Flavobacteriales; Flavobacteriaceae
Description: bacterial SSU rRNA
Rfam family: Bacterial small subunit ribosomal RNA
Source: RNAcentral
GCGUAACGCGUAUGCAAUCUACCUUUUACAGAGGGAUAGCCCAGAGAAAUUUGGAUUAAUACCUCAUAGCAUUGCAGGAUGGCAUGAUUCCACUAUUAAAGUCACAACGGUAAAAGAUGAGCAUGCGUCCCAUUAGCUAGUUGGUAAGGUAACGGCUUACCAAGGCUACGAUGGGUAGGGGUCCUGAGAGGGAGAUCCCCCACACUGGUACUGAGACACGGACCAGACUCCUACGGGAGGCAGCAGUGAGGAAUAUUGGACAAUGGGCGCAAGCCUGAUCCAGCCAUGCCGCGUGCAGGAUGACGGUCCUAUGGAUUGUAAACUGCUUUUAUACGAGAAGAAACACUACUUCGUGAAGUAGCUUGACGGUAUCGUAAGAAUAAGGAUCGGCUAACUCCGUGCCAGCAGCCGCGGUAAUACGGAGGAUCCAAGCGUUAUCCGGAAUCAUUGGGUUUAAAGGGUCCGUAGGCGGUUUAAUAAGUCAGUGGUGAAAGCCCAUCGCUCAACGGUGGAACGGCCAUUGAUACUGUUAAACUUGAAUUAUUAGGAAGUAACUAGAAUAUGUAGUGUAGCGGUGAAAUGCUUAGAGAUUACAUGGAAUACCAAUUGCGAAGGCAGGUUACUACUAAUUGAUUGACGCUGA